AGUGAACGCUGGCGGUAGGCCUAACACAUGCAAGUCGAACGGCAGCACAGUAAGAGCUUGCUCUUACGGGUGGCGAGUGGCGGACGGGUGAGGAAUAUAUCGGAAUCUACUUUUUCGUGGGGGAUAACGUAGGGAAACUUACGCUAAUACCGCAUACGACCUACGGGUGAAAGCAGGGGAUCUUCGGACCUUGCGCGAUUGAAUGAGCCGAUGUCGGAUUAGCUAGUUGGCGGGGUAAAGGCCCACCAAGGCGACGAUCCGUAGCUGGUCUGAGAGGAUGAUCAGCCACACUGGAACGGAGACACGGUCCAGACUCCUACGGGAGGCAGCAGUGGGGAAUAUUGGACAAUGGUCGCAAGCCUGAUCCAGCCAUACCGCGUGGGUGAAGAAGGCCUUCGGGUUGUAAAGCCCUUUUGUUGGUAAAGAAAAGCAGCAGGUUAAUACCCCGCUGUUCUGACGGUACCCAAAGAAUAAGCACCGGCUAACUUCGUG
RNAcentral lists this ribosomal RNA (492 nucleotides) under uncultured bacterium. Its description in RNAcentral is "partial 16S ribosomal RNA". It matches the Rfam family "Bacterial small subunit ribosomal RNA", at positions 29 to 507 of the family's 1533-position model. The record is from RNAcentral.